RNAcentral lists this microRNA precursor (99 nucleotides) under Haemonchus contortus (barber pole worm). RNAcentral describes it as "microRNA hco-mir-5923 precursor". Lineage: Eukaryota; Metazoa; Nematoda; Chromadorea; Rhabditida; Trichostrongylidae. The record is from miRBase by way of RNAcentral.
AGAAACAACACCAGGUACCAGGUCUGCCAAAACGCUCUCUUUUGGAAGCUGCUACAAAGGAGUGCGGAAUGGUAGACCUGGACCUGUUCCUGCGAGGCU